UAUCCUUCUCUGCCUUUUGGCUAAGAUCAAGUGUAGAAUCUGUUCUUAUCAGUUUACUAUCUGAUGUAUCUUCUCUCCGAGUCCAAUAUAUUAUAUGGAUUUUUGAAGCAGGAAGACGGACUAGGAGCUUGCUUGUCCACUUCAUGCAUGGACCUGGUAUUACAGUACAGAACCCCUCAGGGGAUUCAAAUUUG
This is a small nuclear RNA of Callithrix jacchus (white-tufted-ear marmoset), 194 nucleotides long. Its record names the gene U2. It matches the Rfam family "U2 spliceosomal RNA". From Rfam's summary of the family: U2 is a small nuclear RNA (snRNA) component of the spliceosome (involved in pre-mRNA splicing). NCBI's taxonomy places the organism in Eukaryota, Metazoa, Chordata, Mammalia, Primates, Cebidae. The record is from Ensembl.